This 253-nucleotide ribosomal RNA is filed under the name uncultured bacterium. RNAcentral describes it as "partial 16S ribosomal RNA". It matches the Rfam family "Bacterial small subunit ribosomal RNA", at positions 524 to 776 of the family's 1533-position model. The record is from RNAcentral.
UACAGAGGGUGCAAGCGUUGUUCGGAAUUAUUGGGCGUAAAGCGCGUGUAGGCGGCCUUGCAAGUCGGGUGUGAAAGCCCCCGGCUCAACUGGGGAGGGUCACGCGAUACUGAUCGACUCGAAGGCAGGAGAGGGUAGUGGAAUUCCCGGUGUAGUGGUGAAAUGCGUAGAUAUCGGGAGGAACACCAGUGGCGAAGGCGACUACCUGGCCUGUUCUUGACGCUGAGGCGCGAAAGCUAGGGGAGCAAACGGG